This 748-nucleotide ribosomal RNA is filed under the name Chryseobacterium sp. GUAF 7006. RNAcentral's name for it is "bacterial SSU rRNA". It matches the Rfam family "Bacterial small subunit ribosomal RNA", at positions 21 to 769 of the family's 1533-position model. The record is from RNAcentral. Lineage: Bacteria; Pseudomonadati; Bacteroidota; Flavobacteriia; Flavobacteriales; Weeksellaceae.
GGCUCAGGAUGAACGCUAGCGGGAGGCCUAACACAUGCAAGCCGAGCGGUAUGGUUCUUUCGGGAACCAGAGAGCGGCGUACGGGUGCGGAACACGUGUGCAACCUGCCUUUAUCUGGGGGAUAGCCUUUCGAAAGGAAGAUUAAUACCCCAUAAUAUUUAGAAUGGCAUCAUUUUAAAUUGAAAACUCCGGUGGAUAGAGAUGGGCACGCGCAAGAUUAGAUAGUUGGUGGGGUAACGGCCUACCAAGUCAGUGAUCUUUAGGGGGCCUGAGAGGGUGAUCCCCCACACUGGUACUGAGACACGGACCAGACUCCUACGGGAGGCAGCAGUGAGGAAUAUUGGACAAUGGGUGCAAGCCUGAUCCAGCCAUCCCGCGUGAAGGACGACGGCCCUAUGGGUUGUAAACUUCUUUUGUACAGGGAUAAACCCAGAUACGUGUAUCUGGCUGAAGGUACUGUACGAAUAAGCACCGGCUAACUCCGUGCCAGCAGCCGCGGUAAUACGGAGGGUGCAAGCGUUAUCCGGAUUUAUUGGGUUUAAAGGGUCCGUAGGCGGAUCAGUAAGUCAGUGGUGAAAUCUCAUAGCUUAACUAUGAAACUGCCAUUGAUACUGCUGGUCUUGAGUAAGGUAGAAGUAGCUGGAAUAAGUAGUGUAGCGGUGAAAUGCAUAGAUAUUACUUAGAACACCAAUUGCGAAGGCAGGUUACUAUGUCUUAACUGACGCUGAUGGACGAAAGCGUGGGGAGC